Molecule: ribosomal RNA, 620 nt
Filed under: Streptomyces sp. SCAUEA38
Lineage: Bacteria; Bacillati; Actinomycetota; Actinomycetes; Kitasatosporales; Streptomycetaceae
Description: bacterial SSU rRNA
Rfam family: Bacterial small subunit ribosomal RNA
Source: RNAcentral
UCGAACGAUGAAGCCCUUCGGGGUGGAUUAGUGGCGAACGGGUGAGUAACACGUGGGCAAUCUGCCCUGCACUCUGGGACAAGCCCUGGAAACGGGGUCUAAUACCGGAUAUGACUGUCCACCGCAUGGUGGAUGGUGUAAAGCUCCGGCGGUGCAGGAUGAGCCCGCGGCCUAUCAGCUAGUUGGUGAGGUAGUGGCUCACCAAGGCGACGACGGGUAGCCGGCCUGAGAGGGCGACCGGCCACACUGGGACUGAGACACGGCCCAGACUCCUACGGGAGGCAGCAGUGGGGAAUAUUGCACAAUGGGCGAAAGCCUGAUGCAGCGACGCCGCGUGAGGGAUGACGGCCUUCGGGUUGUAAACCUCUUUCAGCAGGGAAGAAGCGAAAGUGACGGUACCUGCAGAAGAAGCGCCGGCUAACUACGUGCCAGCAGCCGCGGUAAUACGUAGGGCGCAAGCGUUGUCCGGAAUUAUUGGGCGUAAAGAGCUCGUAGGCGGCUUGUCACGUCGGUUGUGAAAGCCCGGGGCUUAACCCCGGGUCUGCAGUCGAUACGGGCAGGCUAGAGUUCGGUAGGGGAGAUCGGAAUUCCUGGUGUAGCGGUGAAAUGCGCAGAUAUCA